Eriocheir sinensis (Chinese mitten crab) is the source of this 664-nucleotide long non-coding RNA. RefSeq lists it as uncharacterized. The transcript is spliced from 2 exons. NCBI's taxonomy places the organism in Eukaryota, Metazoa, Arthropoda, Malacostraca, Decapoda, Varunidae. The record is from RefSeq and is a predicted model, not a curated record.
UCUCUCUCUCUCUCUCUCUCUCAGACCCCACUUGGAAUAUGCGGUACAGUUUUGGUCUCCCCACCAUGCAAAGGAUAUUGCUAAAUUAGAAGGUGUUCAGCGUCGGGCAACGAAAAUGAUCCCUUCCUUGCGCAACAAAUCCUACGAAGAAAGGCUUUCUUCCCUUAACAUGUUCUCUCUUGAGAAACGUCGCCUCCGAGGAAAACUGAUCGAAUGUUUUAAAAUACUUAAUGGUUUCACGAAUGUAGACAGAUCAACAUUGUUUAUGAUCGAUGACACUUUGCGCACGAGGAACAAUGGCGUAAAACUCAGAUGUAGACAAGUAAAUUCAGACUGCACCAAAUUUUUCUUCACCAACGUUAUAGUGCGAGAAUGGAAUAAGCUUCCACCAUCAGUGGUCCAGUGUAACACGAUUGACUCCUUCAAAAAUAAGCUCGACCGUCACUUCCUUCAACUUAAUAUCAACUAGAGUAGAAAUGCAACGUUUUGGAGUCUUCUGAUUAAUGUAAAAUCACUUAGGUUUAAGGACAGACCACCAAGUCUGGACCAUGGGGUCUGUGUGGUCUGAUUUUCUAUGUAAAUCUAUGUAAAUCUAUGUAAAUCUCUCUCUCUCUCUCUCUCUCUCUCUCUCUCUCUCUCUCUCUCUCUCUCUCUCUCUCUCUCU